UUUUAUCUCGAUAUUUUUGCAGCCCUGAUAACAUGAACAUUCACCAUAAUGCAUGACUCAACUUUAUGUUUAUCGAAUUUUAGAUUCUACAUAAAUUGUGUAUGCCUUAUAUCCAUAAUUGUUGAAUUAUGUGAAUUUGAUAUUGCCAUGCAUUAAAUUAUUUGAAUACAUAUGCAUUGAAUUGAUUGAAAAAAAAUAUAUAUUAAAAUAUGAUUCUUCUAGGGUUCUUUGAACCCAGGACCCGAGUAAAC
Molecule: long non-coding RNA, 251 nt
Filed under: Malus domestica (apple)
Lineage: Eukaryota; Viridiplantae; Streptophyta; Magnoliopsida; Rosales; Rosaceae
Description: long non-coding RNA (MDOM_LNC005029)
Source: RNAcentral